This 293-nucleotide ribosomal RNA is filed under the name uncultured bacterium. RNAcentral describes it as "partial 16S ribosomal RNA". It matches the Rfam family "Bacterial small subunit ribosomal RNA", at positions 505 to 796 of the family's 1533-position model. The record is from RNAcentral.
GUGCCAGCCGCCGCGGUAAUACGAAGGGGGCUAGCGUUGUUCGGAAUCACUGGGCGUAAAGCGCACGCAGGCGGAUUGAUAAGUCGGGGGUGAAAUCCCGGGGCUCAACCUCGGAAUUGCCUUUGAUACUGUCUGUCUUCGAGUUCGGGAGAGGUUGGCGGAAUUCCUAGUGUAGAGGUGAAAUUCGUAGAUAUUAGGAAGAACACCAGUGGCGAAGGCGGCCAACUGGCCCGAUACUGACGCUCAUGUGCGAAAGCGUGGGGAGCAAACAGGAUUAGAAACCCCUGUAGUCC